This 18-nucleotide non-coding RNA is filed under the name Arabidopsis thaliana (thale cress). Lineage: Eukaryota; Viridiplantae; Streptophyta; Magnoliopsida; Brassicales; Brassicaceae. The record is from RNAcentral.
GGCAAGUUGUCCUUGGCU